This 717-nucleotide ribosomal RNA is filed under the name uncultured bacterium. RNAcentral describes it as "bacterial SSU rRNA". It matches the Rfam family "Bacterial small subunit ribosomal RNA", at positions 129 to 865 of the family's 1533-position model. The record is from RNAcentral.
CCCCGAAGAGGGGGAUAACCACUGGAAACGGUGGCUAAUACCCCAUGCGGUCCCGCAUUCGGUUGCGGGGUUAAAGGCUCCGGCGCUUCGGGAGGGGCCUGCGGCCUAUCAGCUAGUUGGUAGGGUAACGGCCUACCAAGGCUAUGACGGGUAGCUGGUCUGAGAGGACGGUCAGCCACACUGGCACUGAGACACGGGCCAGACUCCUACGGGAGGCAGCAGUGAGGAAUAUUGCGCAAUGGGGGAAACCCUGACGCAGCAACGCCGCGUGGGCGAAGAAGGUCUUCGGAUUGUAAAGCCCUUUUCUCCCGGACGAGGAAGGACGGUACGGGAGGAAUAAGCGUCGGCUAACUACGUGCCAGCAGCCGCGGUAAAACGUAGGACGCAAGCGUUAUCCGGAAUUAUUGGGCGUAAAGGGCGUCUAGGCGGUGUUCUAAGUUGGGCGUGAAAUCUUCCGGCUUAACCGGAAGGGUGCGUUCAAUACUGGGACACUUGAGGGCAGCAGAGGGAGGUGGAAUUCCCGGUGUAGCGGUGGAAUGCGUAGAUAUCGGGAGGAACACCAGUGGCGAAGGCGGCCUCCUGGGCUGUACCUGACGCUGAAGCGCGAAAGCGUGGGGAGCGAACGGGAUUAGAUACCCCGGUAGUCCACGCCGUAAACGAUGGAUACUAGGUGUUGGUGGUAUUGACCCCAUCAGUGCCGCAGCUAACGCGUUAAGU